GAUGAACGCUGGCGGCGUGCCUAAUACAUGCAAGUCGAGCGAACAGACGAGGAGCUUGCUCCUCUGACGUUAGCGGCGGACGGGUGAGUAACACGUGGAUAACCUACCUAUAAGACUGGGAUAACUUCGGGAAACCGGAGCUAAUACCGGAUAAUAUAUUGAACCGCAUGGUUCAAUAGUGAAAGACGGUUUUGCUGUCACUUAUAGAUGGAUCCGCGCCGCAUUAGCUAGUUGGUAAGGUAACGGCUUACCAAGGCAACGAUGCGUAGCCGACCUGAGAGGGUGAUGGGCCACACUGGAACAGAGACAGGGUCCAGACACCGACGGGAGGCAGAAGGAGGGAAUCUUCCGGAAUGGGCGAAAGCCUGACGGAGCAACGCCGCGUGAGUGAGGAAGGUCUUCGGAUCGUAAAACUCUGUGAUGAGGGAAAAACAAAUGUGUAAGUAACUAUGCACGUCUUGACGGUACCUAAUAAGAAAGCCACGGCUAACUACGUG
This 497-nucleotide ribosomal RNA is filed under the name uncultured bacterium. Its description in RNAcentral is "partial 16S ribosomal RNA". It matches the Rfam family "Bacterial small subunit ribosomal RNA", at positions 28 to 507 of the family's 1533-position model. The record is from RNAcentral.